AUUUGUGGCGCUUGUCCGCGAGUUGCGGAAUGAAGCUGAGCGAUUCGGAAGCAGGGAUCUCAGGGCAAUCAUCGACACAGAAGUCUUCUGUGACCAAAGUGAAGACUGAAGCCCUAGGCUAUUGCAGAAGUUGGGUGCCUGAAGUACACGUGGAAAUAUGCCAACUGAACAUUGGACUACCACCGCCUGCCCCUGGCUCAGCGCCCGGUGCCAACAGAACACCUUUCAGGAUCCACAGCAACGCAGACAACGAGUCCAGAAUCCCGGCCUCUGCUUGAAACGGAACAGUGUCAUGGCGGAGACGACGGCCUUUGUCUUGCUGGGUGUGAAAACAUUCGCUGUGCUGGCUCCACUGCGGCAGAAUCAAGUUUAAAGGAAAAAAACACGCAGCAAGUGAAGCGACAAGAGGAAUCCAUUAUGCAAAUCAUGUCACUUUGCAUAAUGUCUCAUGACUGGAAUAUGCAAAUGAACUGUAUAAUUUAUGAGUGCCAAUGUCUGUCUAAAAGUGUUUCACAUAAUUUACAAAGUGAGCCUGAGAGGCAUGAGGAAGGCAGCUCUUCCGAUUCCAUUGCCAGGAAAGCUCUGUAUAUUUUUCUGUAAGUGAUCCCUCGUAAUAUCAUCAAGUGCUAUUUAAAAUAAAUGAAGGUUUCAAAUGUACAUGAAAGGCAAAGAUUUUUCUCUCACUUCCUUCACCCAUUGAUUUUUUUUGUCUAACAUUUGCAAGAAACUUGGACUCGAAAGCCUUAAAUUUUGGAUUUAAUUUGGAAAAGAAAAGUUAUUUGAGCCAAACUUGCUCUUUGUAUAUGGGUUUCCUUUUCUAAAGCAAGGAAUGUCUUAGAGAAGCAGACACUAUCUAUUAACAUUUGCCUGAACCUAUAGAAAGCAGAAGAAUGGGAUUUCUUAAUUUGGUUGGUUUUAUGUGUGCCCUGUAACAUUUUAUAAAUAAUAGUCUCCCGGAUGUAUUAAAUAUUGUUAUGGAAGGCUCAUACAAUCAAUAUUCUUCUGAAGGUAUAAUUCUACUUUCAGAAUAGUCUUCACAGGAGAAAUUAUAUCCAGUAAAAAUCAGAUUUUAGUUAAGUGA
Long non-coding RNA from Rhinopithecus roxellana (golden snub-nosed monkey), 1081 nucleotides. RefSeq lists it as uncharacterized. The record is from RefSeq and is a predicted model, not a curated record. The transcript has 6 exons. NCBI's taxonomy places the organism in Eukaryota, Metazoa, Chordata, Mammalia, Primates, Cercopithecidae.